AAAGACAGAGAGGAAAGACAAAGAGUAAAGACAGAGAGAAAGACAGAGAGUAAAGACAGAGAGUAAAGACAGAGAGGAAAGACAGAGAGGAAAGACAAAGAGUAAAGACAGAGAGUAAAGACAGAGAGUAAAGACAGACAGUAAAGACAGAGAGGAAAGACAGAGAGGAAAGACAAAGAGUAAAGACAGAGAGUAAAGACAGAGAGAAAGACAGAAAUACAGAGAGAAAGACAGAGAGUAAAGAAAGAGAAAGACAGAGAGAAAGACAGAGAGAAAAGACAGAGAGUAAAGACAGACAGAAAGACAGAGAGAAAAGACAGAGAGAAAAGACAGAGAGAAAGACAGAGAAGAAAGACAGAAAUACAGAGAGUAAAGACAGACAGAAAGACAGAGAGAAAGACAGAGAGAAAAGACAGAGAGUAAAGACAGACAGAAAGACAGAGAGAAAAGACAGAGAGAAAAGACAGAGAGAAAGACAGAGAGUAAAGACAGAGAAAGACAGAGUAAAGACAGAGAGUAAAGACAGAAAGUAAAGACAGAGAGAAAGACAGAGAGUAAAGACAGAGAGAAAGAUAAAAAAAAUACCAACAUUUUGUUUGAACAAAUGCGGAUAAAAAAUAAAGUGAGCCAUUGAGCGAUUAAAGUGCCAAGUGCAGAGACUUCAAGAGGUGUGGUCUGAGUGGUUAAGCUCUCACUACGAACAGUCUAGACGCCACAAACCAAGGACUUUAUCAAACGAUACAAGGUGCUGUAAGAUUUUACUUGGCCUCCUGUAAACACAAGGGGACAGUUUAUUCUUCUUGUGUUCUGGAGAGAGCGGCCGGCCGGCCGGCUAACUAGCGCCCCUGCAUCCAGGCCCCUACCCAUAAACCCUGUUCUCCAAGCCACGCAGGCCAGGCGACCCCCUCCCUCUGACAUUGCCGGACACUCAAAUGGAGAUGCAUUGUUCACACAAUGUCUUUAUGGGUAUGACUGGUCCAUUAAUUAUAGAACACCCUA
This is a long non-coding RNA of Oncorhynchus tshawytscha (Chinook salmon), 999 nucleotides long. Lineage: Eukaryota; Metazoa; Chordata; Actinopteri; Salmoniformes; Salmonidae. The record is from Ensembl.